AUUUUUUUCUUCUUUUUUUCUUCUUUUUCU
Molecule: small RNA, 30 nt
Filed under: Arabidopsis thaliana (thale cress)
Lineage: Eukaryota; Viridiplantae; Streptophyta; Magnoliopsida; Brassicales; Brassicaceae
Description: ATSL225760
Source: RNAcentral